GGCGACAUAGCCAAGUGGUAAGGCCGAGGUCUGCAAAACCUCUAUUCCCCAGUUCGACUCUGGGUGUCGCCUCCA
Molecule: transfer RNA, 75 nt
Filed under: Schwartzia sp. (in: firmicutes)
Lineage: Bacteria; Bacillati; Bacillota; Negativicutes; Selenomonadales; Selenomonadaceae
Also listed under: 3 other names
Description: tRNA-Cys
Rfam family: tRNA
About the family: Transfer RNA (tRNA) molecules are approximately 80 nucleotides in length. Their secondary structure includes four short double-helical elements and three loops (D, anti-codon, and T loops). Further hydrogen bonds mediate the characteristic L-shaped molecular structure. tRNAs have two regions of fundamental functional importance: the anti-codon, which is responsible for specific mRNA codon recognition, and the 3' end, to which the tRNAs corresponding amino acid is attached (by aminoacyl-tRNA synthetases). tRNAs cope with the degeneracy of the genetic code in two manners: having more than one tRNA (with a specific anti-codon) for a particular amino acid; and 'wobble' base-pairing, i.e. permitting non-standard base-pairing at the 3rd anti-codon position.
Source: RNAcentral